UACGUAGGGGUCGAGCGUUGUCCGGAGUUACUGGGCGUAAAGCGCGCGCAGGUGGCUCGUUGCGCCCGGCGUGAAAGCCCCCGGCUUAACCGGGGAAGGUCGUCGGGGACGGGCGAGCUUGAGGGCGGCAGGGGCCGGUGGAACUCCCGGUGUAGUGGUGAAAUGCGUAGAGAUCUGGAAGAACACCAAAGGCGAAGGCAGCAUCCUGGGAAGUUCCUGACGCUCGGGUGCGAAAGCCAGGGGAGCGAACGGG
This 253-nucleotide ribosomal RNA is filed under the name uncultured bacterium. RNAcentral describes it as "partial 16S ribosomal RNA". It matches the Rfam family "Bacterial small subunit ribosomal RNA", at positions 524 to 776 of the family's 1533-position model. The record is from RNAcentral.